Molecule: long non-coding RNA, 597 nt
Filed under: Oryctolagus cuniculus (rabbit)
Lineage: Eukaryota; Metazoa; Chordata; Mammalia; Lagomorpha; Leporidae
Description: lncRNA (ENSOCUG00000030186.1)
Source: RNAcentral
UGAAGAACUAUAACAGACUCAAGAACACCUACCCUGGAGCAAGUAUCAUGAAAACCUACAGAUCACCCCAGGUAGCAGUCUCACAACAUCAAUCUAUUGAUUCUCACUGCACGAGGUGAAGAAGAAACCACCAGUUCAGGCCUACUUGAAUAUAAAUCCUUACACUUCUAUGUACUUGCCUAAUGAUGACAGGCUAAUACAUGCCCCGAUCAGUAGAAGGUGGGAUAGAGGACAGUUGAUGUACUUGAGGAACUCAGCAGGUACAGAUAUCAUCCUUUCAACACUUGAUUUUCAGUAUCACUCUGUAUUUAACAGAGCAGCUUGCAAAAGAUAAAAGAAACAAUGAAGCACCACCAGGAGGUUUUUCUUAGUAAGACUUGGCAUAUCUCCAUUCAAUUACUUAGCCAGACCUCAAGUUCUAUCUAGAUUCAAGGGAGCCCAAAAAAUAAGUCUGUGAUUGACUAACAACUCAGCAGUAUACUUAAGAAGCACAAACUUUGAUAGUCAAAUUGCCACUGAUGCCUCAAUGCAUAUUCCAGAUUUUUAAUUUUCUGAACAUUCAAUAAAGAACUCUGCUUGGGUAGAGAGGAGUGGUAU